GACGAACGCUGGCGGCGCGCUUAACACAUGCAAGUCGAACGGAAAGGCCUGCUUUCCCUUGUGGAUUCGGGGUACGCGCGUGGCGAACGGGUGAGUAACACGUGAGUUAUCUGCUCCCAACUUUGGUAGAAACCUGGGAUACUAGGUCUAAUUCCCGCCAGGACUGCGGGGUGGUUUGGGUAGUUGCAGACGAUGUGUUAGCGGUUGGGGAUGAACUCGCUGCUUAUCGGCUUGUUGUUUGAGUAGUGGCCUACGAAGGCGGCGACGGGUAGCCGGCCGGGGAGGGUGGCCGGACACAUUGGGAAUGAUAUACGGCGCAGACGCCUACGGGAGGCAGCAGUGGGGAGUAGUGCACAAUUGGCGGAAGCCUGAGGGAGCAACGCCGGGUGUGGGAUGGUGGCCUCCUGGUGGUAAAGCGGUUUCGCCUGUGUUGAAGGGGGAGUGACGGUAGUGGGUGAAGAAGCACCGGCUAACUACGUG
RNAcentral lists this ribosomal RNA (480 nucleotides) under uncultured bacterium. RNAcentral describes it as "partial 16S ribosomal RNA". It matches the Rfam family "Bacterial small subunit ribosomal RNA", at positions 28 to 507 of the family's 1533-position model. The record is from RNAcentral.